Non-coding RNA from Triticum aestivum (bread wheat), 135 nucleotides. The record is from Rfam. NCBI's taxonomy places the organism in Eukaryota, Viridiplantae, Streptophyta, Magnoliopsida, Poales, Poaceae.
GUUCUACUCCCUCCGCUCUGAAUUACUUGUUUUGGAUUUGUCUAGAUACAGAUGUAUCUAGACCCAUUUUAGUGCUAGGUACAUCCGUAUCUAGAUAAAUUUAAGACAAGUAAUUCGGAACGGAGGGAGUAUUAA